This 64-nucleotide transfer RNA is filed under the name Neotermes sp. A TB-2014. RNAcentral's name for it is "tRNA-His". The record is from RNAcentral. Lineage: Eukaryota; Metazoa; Arthropoda; Insecta; Blattodea; Kalotermitidae.
GCUUGGGUAGUUUAAUUAAAAUGUUGAUUUGUGGGGUCAGCGAUGUAUUUUUGUACCUUAGGCU